RNAcentral lists this ribosomal RNA (469 nucleotides) under uncultured Gram-positive bacterium. RNAcentral's name for it is "bacterial SSU rRNA". It matches the Rfam family "Bacterial small subunit ribosomal RNA", at positions 8 to 459 of the family's 1533-position model. The record is from RNAcentral.
AGAGUUUGAUCCUGGCUCAGGAUGAACGCUGGCGGCGUGCUUACACAUGCAAGUCGAGCGAAGCGAUUUUAGCGGAAGUUUUCGGGUGGAAGUUGGAUUGACUGAGCGGCGGACGGGUGAGUAACGCGUGGGUAACCUGCCUCAUACAGGGGGAUAACAGUUAGAAAUGACUGCUAAUACCGCAUAAGCGCACGGGGACGCAUGUUCUUGUGUGAAAAGCCGAGACGGUAUGAGAUGGACCCGCGUCUGAUUAGCUAGUUGGUGAGGUAACGGCCCACCAAGGCAACGAUCAGUAGCCGACCUGAGAGGGUGACCGGCCACAUUGGGACUGAGACACGGCCCAAACUCCUACGGGAGGCAGCAGUGGGGAAUAUUGCACAAUGGGGGAAACCCUGAUGCAGCGACGCCGCGUGAGUGAAGAAGUAUUUCGGUAUGUAAAGCUCUAUCAGCAGGGAAAGAUAAUGACGGU